UACGUAGGGGGCUAGCGUUGUCCGGAUUUAUUGGGCGUAAAGAGCUCGUAGGUGGUUCGGUUAGUCGGAUGUGAAAUCUCCAGGCUCAACCUGGAGGGGUCAUUCGAUACUGCCGUGACUAGAGUUCGGUAGAGGAGUGUGGAAUUCCUGGUGUAGCGGUGAAAUGCGCAGAUAUCAGGAGGAACACCAGUGGCGAAGGCGGUUCUCUGGGACGGUACUGACGCUGAGACGCGAAAGCGUGGGGAGCGAACAGG
This 254-nucleotide ribosomal RNA is filed under the name uncultured bacterium. RNAcentral's name for it is "partial 16S ribosomal RNA". It matches the Rfam family "Bacterial small subunit ribosomal RNA", at positions 524 to 776 of the family's 1533-position model. The record is from RNAcentral.